AUCUAAAACUAAAAUCUAAAAUC
RNAcentral lists this small nuclear RNA (23 nucleotides) under Arabidopsis thaliana (thale cress). RNAcentral's name for it is "snRNA_12160". The record is from RNAcentral. Lineage: Eukaryota; Viridiplantae; Streptophyta; Magnoliopsida; Brassicales; Brassicaceae.